CAAUAGCGUAUAUUAAAGUUGUUGCAGUUAAAAAGCUCGUAGUUGGAUUUCUGGUGUGAUGGAUUAUGUCUAGGUCGAAAGAUCUUGUUCAUGGUUCGUUUUGCCCUUCUUGUCAGGAACCCGCUGAGAUUCGCGUCUUGUCGGUGGAAUGGCAUCGUUUACUGUGAAAAAAUUAGAGUGUUCAAAGCAGGCAUCGCCGUUGAAUACAUUAGCAUGGAAUAAUAAGAUAAGACUUUGGUGGUCUAUUUUGUUGGUUUGCACGCCAAAGUAAUGAUUAAUAGGGAUAGUUGGGGGUAUUCGUAUUCUAUUGCUAGAGGUGAAAUUCUUAAAUUUAUGGAAGACGAACUACUGCGAAAGCAUUUACCAAGGAUGUUUUCAUUAA
Molecule: ribosomal RNA, 382 nt
Filed under: uncultured eukaryote
Lineage: Eukaryota
Description: partial 18S ribosomal RNA
Rfam family: Eukaryotic small subunit ribosomal RNA
Source: RNAcentral